AACGUAGGAGGCGAGCGUUAUCCGGAUUUACUGGGCGUAAAGCGCACGCAGGUGGUUUCGUUAGUCGGACAUGAAAGCUCCUGGCUUAACUGGGAGAGGUGGUUCGAUACUGCGAGACUUGAGGUUGGGAGAGGGACGUGGAAUUCCCGGUGUAGUGGUGGAAUGCGUAGAUAUCGGGAGGAACACCAGUGGCGCAAGCGGCGUCCUGGCCCACACCUGACGCUGAGGUGCGAAAGCGUGGGGAGCAAACAGG
Molecule: ribosomal RNA, 253 nt
Filed under: uncultured bacterium
Lineage: Bacteria
Description: partial 16S ribosomal RNA
Rfam family: Bacterial small subunit ribosomal RNA
Source: RNAcentral